RNAcentral lists this ribosomal RNA (522 nucleotides) under uncultured Frankineae bacterium. Its description in RNAcentral is "bacterial SSU rRNA". It matches the Rfam family "Bacterial small subunit ribosomal RNA", at positions 96 to 633 of the family's 1533-position model. Lineage: Bacteria; Bacillati; Actinomycetota; Actinomycetes; Frankiales. The record is from RNAcentral.
UGGCGAACGGGUGAGUAACACGUGGGCAACCUGCCCUCAGCUCUGGGAUAACUCCGGGAAACCGGGGCUAAUACCGGAUAUGACCACCGUGGGCAUCUGUGGUGGUGGAAAGUUUUUCGGCUGAGGAUGGGCCCGCGGCCUAUCAGCUUGUUGGUGGGGUGAUGGCUCACCAAGGCGACGACGGGUAGCCGGCCUGAGAGGGUGACCGGCCACACUGGGACUGAGACACGGCCCAGACUCCUACGGGAGGCAGCAGUGGGGAAUAUUGCGCGAUGGGCGGAAGCCUGACGCAGCGACGCCGCGUGAGGGACGACGGCCUUCGGGUUGUAAACCUCUUUCAGCAGGGACGAAGCGAGAGUGACGGUACCUGCAGAAGAAGCACCGGCCAACUACGUGCCAGCAGCCGCGGUAAUACGUAGGGUGCAAGCGUUGUCCGGAAUUAUUGGGCGUAAAGAGCUCGUAGGCGGUCUGUUGCGUCGGCUGUGAAAACCCGAGGCUCAACCUCGGGCCUGCAGCCGAUAC